Molecule: non-coding RNA, 235 nt
Organism: Avibacterium paragallinarum JF4211
Lineage: Bacteria; Pseudomonadati; Pseudomonadota; Gammaproteobacteria; Pasteurellales; Pasteurellaceae
Source: Rfam
ACAUUUUAUUCCAUUCAGUGCGUAAGCCAUUAAAGUAAUGCGUUACAACGUUGUGAGUUUCCUUGAUUUUAUCUCGUUUAACUAGUAAAAGUGAUUUAUGCAUAAGUCUGUGAUUUAUUUAAUUCGUAGUUUUUACUAACCCGAUAACAUAUUUCGCAUAAUGAAUAUUAUGUUAAAUAAAAGGAAUAAAAAGUAACAUAGCUACUUGUCUAACCCUUGCCCUCGUUCACUUUCG